UUUUUUUUUUUUUUUUAUUUUUCUUUCUUUUUGAGACGGAGUCUUGCUCUGUCGUCCAGGCUGGAGUGCAGUGGGGCGAUCUCGGCUCACUGCAACCUCUGCCUCCUGGGUUCAAGCGAUUCUCCUGCCUCAGCCUCCUGAGUAGCUGGGAUUACAGGCUCAUGACACCACACUUGGCUAAUUUUUGUAUUUUUAGUAGAGAUGGAGUUUCACCGUGUUGGUCAGGCUGGUCUCAAUCUCCUGACCUCGUUUUCCACCCACCUCGGCCUCCAAAGCGCUGGGAUUACAGGCGUGAGCCACCGCGCCCGGCUCCCUGGACUAAUUUUUAAAGUACAUUUGGUCAGUCUGAAACAGCUUAUGGUGGAACAAAAAACUGAACUCACCUUCAGGACUUUACUGUGGGUCGGGGAGGAGGAUAGUAGUAGGGAAUAGAGAAAGAGAUGACAGAACCUAGAGCUGGUGAGCCCAGGUUAGAGGCUGGUCCAGGACACACACCUGUUGGUCUCUGGCUGCGUAUCCCCAAGCAGAGGGAAGAUGCUGAGAUGUGAAAGGCCUCACAUGCGCCCUCCUUCACAUGCUUGUGUGCACUGUGGAGGAGGGCAGCAGGGAGUCUGGGACUGUGUCACAGGGGAAGGAAUGUAACCUCGCAGUCCUAGCCAUAAAGUAUUUUAGCUCAUUUCUGUCCCCAGAGCAUGCACUGAGCAGUAAUGAAUGCCCAAAGACGGAAACAAGGAGGUGGGUGGAGGCCCAGCAUUCUCUCUUUCAGGUCAGUGAGAGUAAGGCAUUUAGCAGAGGCCAUGGGCACUUUGGGAAUUAGCCACAUGAACCUAGGCAGGUCACUCACCACUGAGUUGACUUAUCGCAAAGGGAGAUGAGAACAUAACUGUAAACAUCUGGAUACUUCCUAUUUGCACAGUACUGUGCUUAGUAACUCUAUAUACAGCAACUCAUUUAACUCCCCAAAACCCUGUGAGGUAGAUUCUAAUACUACCUGGGUAAUUCUACUGUGGUGUUGUUCCAGGGGUUAAUUUAGAGCCGCAUUCUCUACACUGUAAAGUACUGUGCCACUGAGUGAGCCUCUUCACAGCUCACCUCAGACUGGGCUGAAGAAAAGGAUCUCUUCAGGCUAACACAAGAAAGGCAAGUCAGCACAGAAUCCCGCUGAAUGGUCCUCUCUAGGGAACUCCCUUACAGAGAAUGCUGUCCCUGGUUAGGAUUCUAGAGGAGCUAGAAGUAAGUGUAAAUGGGGCAAGUUGCAUGGAAAUCCCAGCUUUCUCCUCACCUGUGCAGGUGUCGGGCACUGCUUCCCUGUGCCUUGAGUCCUGUGGGUUGGAGCCCAUCUCUGGCUCCAGAUGGCCUUCUCUCUUGUUUGUGUCCUGUGGAUUAGAGCCCAUUUCUCUUUCUUCUGGGUCCCCUUCCCUGUCCUCAGAGUCCUCAAAAUCGGAACCCAUCCCUUUGUCUUCUGAGUCCUGGUGUGCACAGACACCCUGAUUAUCUUCUUGUUUCAUCCAGGAAGAAAAGGGCAAGGGAGGUGACCAGGAAUCCCUGCUCCAGAAAAACACAAAGAAAGGUCAUGUCAGUCUGGUCUCAUCCCCUCACCACGUCUAGCCUUAAUUUCCAAGUCGAAUAAAAUGUAUAGAGUUCCAAGCCCCAGAUGGCAAACCUCCACUUCAGUCCACAUUUUAAAGUAAACAAGUGAGUGCAAAG
This is a long non-coding RNA of Macaca fascicularis (crab-eating macaque), 1707 nucleotides long. Lineage: Eukaryota; Metazoa; Chordata; Mammalia; Primates; Cercopithecidae. The record is from Ensembl.